GCCGGGCGCGGUGGCUCACGCCUGUAAUCCCAGCACUUUGGGAGGCUGAGGCAGGUGGAUCACCUGAGGUCAGGAGUUCGAGACCAGCCUGGCCAACAUGGUGAAACCCCGUCUCUA
This 117-nucleotide non-coding RNA is filed under the name Pan paniscus (pygmy chimpanzee). RNAcentral also lists the same sequence under 1 other name. Lineage: Eukaryota; Metazoa; Chordata; Mammalia; Primates; Hominidae. The record is from Rfam by way of RNAcentral.